UUAAGCGACUAAGCGUACACGGUGGAUGCCCUGGCAGUCAGAGGCGAUGAAGGACGUGCUAAUCUGCGAUAAGCGUCGGUAAGGUGAUAUGAACCGUUAUAACCGGCGAUUUCCGAAUGGGGAAACCCAGUGUGAUUCGUCACACUAUCAUUAACUGAAUCCAUAGGUUAAUGAGGCGAACCGGGGGAACUGAAACAUCUAAGUACCCCGAGGAAAGAAAUCAACCGAGAUUCCCCCAGUAGCGGCGAGCGAACGGGGAGCAGCCCAGAGCCUGAAUCAGUGUGUGUGUUAGUGGAAGCGUCUGGAAAGGCGCGCGAUACAGGGUGACAGCCCCGUACACAAAAAUGCACAUAUUGUGAGCUCGAUGAGUAGGGCGGGACACGUGGUAUCCUGUCUGAAUAUGGGGGGACCAUCCUCCAAGGCUAAAUACUCCUGACUGACCGAUAGUGAACCAGUACCGUGAGGGAAAGGCGAAAAGAACCCCGGCGAGGGGAGUGAAAAAGAACCUGAAACCGUGUACGUACAAGCAGUGGGAGCACGCUUAGGCGUGUGACUGCGUACCUUUUGUAUAAUGGGUCAGCGACUUAUAUUCUGUAGCAAGGUUAACCGAAUAGGGGAGCCGAAGGGAAACCGAGUCUUAACUGGGCGUUAAGUUGCAGGGUAUAGACCCGAAACCCGGUGAUCUAGCCAUGGGCAGGUUGAAGGUUGGGUAACACUAACUGGAGGACCGAACCGACUAAUGUUGAAAAAUUAGCGGAUGACUUGUGGCUGGGGGUGAAAGGCCAAUCAAACCGGGAGAUAGCUGGUUCUCCCCGAAAGCUAUUUAGGUAGCGCCUCGUGAAUUCAUCUCCGGGGGUAGAGCACUGUUUCGGCAAGGGGGUCAUCCCGACUUACCAACCCGAUGCAAACUGCGAAUACCGGAGAAUGUUAUCACGGGAGACACACGGCGGGUGCUAACGUCCGUCGUGAAGAGGGAAACAACCCAGACCGCCAGCUAAGGUCCCAAAGUCAUGGUUAAGUGGGAAACGAUGUGGGAAGGCCCAGACAGCCAGGAUGUUGGCUUAGAAGCAGCCAUCAUUUAAAGAAAGCGUAAUAGCUCACCGGUCGAGUCGGCCUGCGCGGAAGAUGUAACGGGGCUAAACCAUGCACCGAAGCUGCGGCAGCGACGCUUAUGCGUUGUUGGGUAGGGGAGCGUUCUGUAAGCCUGCGAAGGUGUGCUGUGAGGCAUGCUGGAGGUAUCAGAAGUGCGAAUGCUGACAUAAGUAACGAUAAAGCGGGUGAAAAGCCCGCUCGCCGGAAGACCAAGGGUUCCUGUCCAACGUUAAUCGGGGCAGGGUGAGUCGACCCCUAAGGCGAGGCCGAAAGGCGUAGUCGAUGGGAAACAGGUUAAUAUUCCUGUACUUGGUGUUACUGCGAAGGGGGGACGGAGAAGGCUAUGUUGGCCGGGCGACGGUUGUCCCGGUUUAAGCGUGUAGGCUGGUUUUCCAGGCAAAUCCGGAAAAUCAAGGCUGAGGCGUGAUGACGAGGCACUACGGUGCUGAAGCAACAAAUGCCCUGCUUCCAGGAAAAGCCUCUAAGCAUCAGGUAACAUCAAAUCGUACCCCAAACCGACACAGGUGGUCAGGUAGAGAAUACCAAGGCGCUUGAGAGAACUCGGGUGAAGGAACUAGGCAAAAUGGUGCCGUAACUUCGGGAGAAGGCACGCUGAUAUGUAGGUGAAGUCCCUUGCGGAUGGAGCUGAAAUCAGUCGAAGAUACCAGCUGGCUGCAACUGUUUAUUAAAAACACAGCACUGUGCAAACACGAAAGUGGACGUAUACGGUGUGACGCCUGCCCGGUGCCGGAAGGUUAAUUGAUGGGGUCAGCGCAAGCGAAGCUCUUGAUCGAAGCCCCGGUAAACGGCGGCCGUAACUAUAACGGUCCUAAGGUAGCGAAAUUCCUUGUCGGGUAAGUUCCGACCUGCACGAAUGGCGUAAUGAUGGCCAGGCUGUCUCCACCCGAGACUCAGUGAAAUUGAACUCGCUGUGAAGAUGCAGUGUACCCGCGGCAAGACGGAAAGACCCCGUGAACCUUUACUAUAGCUUGACACUGAACAUUGAGCCUUGAUGUGUAGGAUAGGUGGGAGGCUUUGAAGUGUGGACGCCAGUCUGCAUGGAGCCGGCCUUGAAAUACCACCCUUUAAUGUUUGAUGUUCUAACGUGGACCCGUGAUCCGGGUUGCGGACAGUGUCUGGUGGGUAGUUUGACUGGGGCGGUCUCCUCCUAAAGAGUAACGGAGGAGCACGAAGGUUGGCUAAUCCUGGUCGGACAUCAGGAGGUUAGUGCAAUGGCAUAAGCCAGCUUGACUGCGAGCGUGACGGCGCGAGCAGGUGCGAAAGCAGGUCAUAGUGAUCCGGUGGUUCUGAAUGGAAGGGCCAUCGCUCAACGGAUAAAAGGUACUCCGGGGAUAACAGGCUGAUACCGCCCAAGAGUUCAUAUCGACGGCGGUGUUUGGCACCUCGAUGUCGGCUCAUCACAUCCUGGGGCUGAAGUAGGUCCCAAGGGUAUGGCUGUUCGCCAUUUAAAGUGGUACGCGAGCUGGGUUUAGAACGUCGUGAGACAGUUCGGUCCCUAUCUGCCGUGGGCGCUGGAGAACUGAGGGGGGCUGCUCCUAGUACGAGAGGACCGGAGUGGACGCAUCACUGGUGUUCGGGUUGUCAUGCCAAUGGCACUGCCCGGUAGCUAAAUGCGGAAGAGAUAAGUGCUGAAAGCAUCUAAGCACGAAACUUGCCCCGAGAUGAGUUCUCCCUGACCCUUUAAGGGUCCUGAAGGAACGUUGAAGACGACGACGUUGAUAGGCCGGGUGUGUAAGCGCAGCGAUGCGUUGAGCUAACCGGUACUAAUGAACCGUGAGGCUUAACCUU
RNAcentral lists this ribosomal RNA (2901 nucleotides) under Shigella sonnei 4822-66. Its description in RNAcentral is "bacterial LSU rRNA". It matches the Rfam family "Bacterial large subunit ribosomal RNA". The record is from RNAcentral. Lineage: Bacteria; Pseudomonadati; Pseudomonadota; Gammaproteobacteria; Enterobacterales; Enterobacteriaceae.